Non-coding RNA from Ictidomys tridecemlineatus (thirteen-lined ground squirrel), 72 nucleotides. The record is from Rfam. NCBI's taxonomy places the organism in Eukaryota, Metazoa, Chordata, Mammalia, Rodentia, Sciuridae.
UGGGCUGUGGCUCAGUGGUAGAGCACUCGUACAACACCUGAGAGGCCCUGGGUUCAAUCCUCAGCACCACAU